RNAcentral lists this ribosomal RNA (506 nucleotides) under uncultured bacterium. RNAcentral describes it as "partial 16S ribosomal RNA". It matches the Rfam family "Bacterial small subunit ribosomal RNA", at positions 29 to 523 of the family's 1533-position model. The record is from RNAcentral.
AUUGAACGCUGGCGGCAGGCCUAACACAUGCAAGUCGAACGGCAGCGGGGGGUAGCUUGCUACCCCGCCGGCGAGUGGCGGACGGGUGAGUAAUGCCUGGGGAGCUGCCCAAUCGAGGGGGAUACCAGUUGGAAACGACUGCUAAUACCGCAUACGCCCUGAGGGGGAAAGGUGGGGAUCUUCGGACCUACCGCGAUUGGAUGCACCCAGGUGGGAUUAGCUAGUUGGUGAGGUAACGGCUCACCAAGGCGACGAUCUCUAGCUGGUCUGAGAGGAUGACCAGCCACACUGGAACUGAGACACGGUCCAGACUCCUACGGGAGGCAGCAGUGGGGAAUAUUGCACAAUGGGGGAAACCCUGAUGCAGCCAUGCCGCGUGUGUGAAGAAGGCCUUCGGGUUGUAAAGCACUUUCAGCGAGGAGGAAAGGUUGGCAGCUAAUACCUGUCAGCUGUGACGUUACUCGCAGAAGAAGCACCGGCUAACUCCGUGCCAGCCGCCGCGGUAA